UAUAUAUAUAUAUAUAUAUAUAUAUAUAUAUAUAUAUAUAUAAGCGUAUAGGAAUUCCGACAAUGACAGACGGAAUCCAAAAAUGAAUAAAAUAAUAUUCCCUACGAAUGGUUAUGAUUAAUUUGUUAAAAAUAUCUCAAAUAAAAACAAACGGUUAUGAUCCAUCUAUAUCUAUACUAUAUAUAAAAGCGUAUAGGAAUUCCGACAAUGACAGACGAAAUCCAAAAGGGAAUAAAAUAAUAUUCCCUACGAAUGGUUAUGAUUAAUUUGUUAAAAAUAUCUCAAAUAAAAACAAACGGUUAUGAUCCAUCUAUAUCUAUACUAUAUAUAAAAGCGUAUAGGAAUUCCGACAAUGACAGACGAAAUCCAAAAGGGAAUAAAAUAAUAUUCCCUACGAAUGGUUAUGAUUAAUUUGUUAAAAAUAUCUCAAAUAAAAACAAACGGUUAUGAUCCAUCUAUAUCUAUACUAUAUAUAAAAGCGUAUAGGAAUUCCGACAAUGACAGACGAAAUCCAAAAGGGAAUAAAAUAAUAUUCCCUACGAAUGGUUAUGAUUAAUUUGUUAAAAAUAUCUCAAAUAAAAACAAACGGUUAUGAUCAAUCUAUUAAAUUUCUAUUGUAUUAAAAAAAAUAAUAAUAAUAUUCCCUAUGAAUGGUUAUGAUUAAUUUAUUAAAAAUAUUUCAAAUAAAAACGAACGAUUAUGAUCAAUCUAUUAAAUCUCUACUGUAUAUAAAAAUCUAUUCCCUACAAAUGAUUAUAAUCAAUGUGUUAAAAAAAUAUCUCAAAUAAAAUAGUUAUAAUUAAUCUAUUAAAAAAUAGCAUUUCUAUCUAUUUAUAAAUUCAAUCCUAUGAACAAUUAUAAUCAAUUUGUUAGAAAAUAUCUCAAAUAAAAAUAAAAAAAAAAUAGCAUUCCUAUUCAUCUAUUUUAUAUUAAAAUUAAAAUUUGAGUUUAAAUUAUGAAUUAAAUUUAAUUUUUUAUAUCAAAUUUGAAUUAACAAUUAAUUUUUUUAUUACAGUGGAUCAAUAUUAAAUUUU
This 1034-nucleotide long non-coding RNA is filed under the name Ananas comosus (pineapple). RNAcentral describes it as "long non-coding RNA (ACOM_LNC029717)". The record is from RNAcentral. Lineage: Eukaryota; Viridiplantae; Streptophyta; Magnoliopsida; Poales; Bromeliaceae.